GAAAGCCGUAGAGGCCCGUCUCUUUGAUUGAGGGAGCUUUAGAUGUUGAAAUGUGGAUGAAGUUGGAGUUGGCUCGUACAUGAGCAACGGCGGACUUGCGAAUUAGAGCGUGCAUGACGACUGGCGUUCGCCGUAGACGAAACUGCGAACUCUAAACAACGAGGUUCUGCUCCUCUUCUUCGCUCAAUCUGCAGAAGGGGCCGGCUGUAAUC
This 212-nucleotide unclassified non-coding RNA is filed under the name Hevea brasiliensis (rubber tree). Lineage: Eukaryota; Viridiplantae; Streptophyta; Magnoliopsida; Malpighiales; Euphorbiaceae. The record is from RNAcentral.